GAUGAACGCUGGCGGCGUGCCUAAUACAUGCAAGUCGAGCGAACGGACGAGAAGCUUGCUUCUCUGAUGUUAGCGGCGGACGGGUGAGUAACACGUGGAUAACCUACCUAUAAGACUGGGAUAACUUCGGGAAACCGGAGCUAAUACCGGAUAAUAUUUUGAACCGCAUGGUUCAAAAGUGAAAGACGGCCUUGCUGUCACUUAUAGAUGGAUCCGCGCUGCAUUAGCUAGUUGGUAAGGUAACGGCUUACCAAGGCAACGAUGCAUAGCCGACCUGAGAGGGUGAUCGGCCACACUGGAACUGAGACACGGUCCAGACUCCUACGGGAGGCAGCAGUAGGGAAUCUUCCGCAAUGGGCGAAAGCCUGACGGAGCAGCGCCGCGUGAGUGAUGAAGGUCUUCGGAUCGUAAAACUCUGUUAUUAGGGAAGAACAUAUGUGUAAGUAACUGUGCACAUCUUGACGGUACCUAAUCAGAAAGCCACGGCUAUCUACGUG
Molecule: ribosomal RNA, 497 nt
Filed under: uncultured bacterium
Lineage: Bacteria
Description: partial 16S ribosomal RNA
Rfam family: Bacterial small subunit ribosomal RNA
Source: RNAcentral